ACAGAAUGUGUCUGACACUCAUCGGAAAAAGGCGGUGGAGCAGUGAGUCAACAUCGAGUUUUGUGAUAAGUCAGGCAGUGAAACGUUUGCUAAGGCACGCCAUUUGGUGGAAUGGAGCGCUAGAGCAGGCACGAACGUGUUGUUGGAGUGUAAGCCUUUUACAAAAACGAUACCUGUGUUGCUGCUGCUAGACGGGAAUCCCGUCUUUAUUUCAGCAUUGGUAGGAAAAAUCCUGUACCGUCUGAACAUGCAAUCAGGUCACGUGUGACAAUGAAGCAACAGGAAGUAUGCACUUCUGCUGAAAUCGCCCGGAAGGCCCAGAAGUUGUCGCUCACAGGAACAAACGGAGGAGAGGCAGACCAUAUGGACCGACGACUUGUCAUUCUUUGUCCUCUUAGCACUCACUCUAUGGGAGGAACUUACAAAAAUGUAGAAGAUGUUUGUUUG
Long non-coding RNA from Schistocerca cancellata (South American locust), 447 nucleotides. RefSeq lists it as uncharacterized. The record is from RefSeq and is a predicted model, not a curated record. The transcript is spliced from 3 exons. Lineage: Eukaryota; Metazoa; Arthropoda; Insecta; Orthoptera; Acrididae.